UCAUCGGCUAUUUUAUUAGCUAAUCACUAGCAAGUAUUUACACAUCAUUCAUUGUUCAUAUUAUACCAAAAGUAGCUAAGUUUCUAUACAUGCCAUACCCAAAACAAAAUGUCUAGUUAUACCGAGUUAUUUCUUUGAUAGUGUGAUCGGCCUCCGACGUUUCCUUCGAUCCCCGAGUGACUAGAUAAGUACUAUAAGAAGAAGAAAAUAAAUAGAUUAAGCACUAGGCUUAGUAAGCUUACAAGCAAAUAAAUCACAACAUUCAACAUAAUGGAUAAUUAUGCAUAAUAUCAUCUAACAUCAUAAAUUUCUUUACUUCUCAAUUUCUAUCUUCUUCUUUAUUCCCUUACCUUCUUUCUUACCUGACCUUUCCUUUUUCAUAAGUAUAAUCUACUUUUCCUUUGCUGUUAAUUCACUGUAAUUUAACUCGUAUCCUGACCCGUUGAACCACUCGGAAUAUUAAGGAUACUAGGGUCGUUCCUGUCUAUCAAUAUCCUGCCAAUGCUAUAUCUUUGACAUGGACUUACAUGAAUUAUUCCUGUCUCCAAUGCCAUAUAUAAUAUGGACUUACAUGGCUCAAUCCUGUCUCCAAAGCCAUAUUUCUAAUAUGGACUUACAUGGCUCAUUUUUGUUUUGUCCUGUCAACCCUAAUAUCCUAACAUUCCUAGGGUUCAACCGGGGCUUUCUAACACUUUUCCUCUGUCACUUCACCUUAAAUUUGACUUUAAAUAUUUUCAUAACAUAAUAUAUAAAUGCUGGAAAUUGACAAUAAUAAUGUAAAAUAAAAGAAUAUCGCAUUUUUUUACUGUAACUUACCUUGAUACAAAAUGUGACUAAACUUUACAAUUUAGUCCUUUACUUUUUCUUUUCCCCGAUCCACUCCCGAAUUUCGUUCUUCUUGAUCUAUAAUAGCAAAUUUAACUUAUUUAAUAUUCACAUUUAUUAAAACGGUCCUUGACCCAACUUUUGCAAAAUUAUAAUUUUACCCCUAAACUUUCACAUAUUUGCACUUUUGCCCCAAGGCUCGUAAAUUAAACUUCAUCUUAUUUUCUUAUGUUUUAUGACAUGCUGAUCAUUUUUCCCUUCUAUGGCAAUAUCAAAAUCACACUCUAACAUAUACUUAUGACUAUUGGUAUUUUUUAUCCAAUUUAAGCCAUUUUACUCGUUUUCACUUAAAACCGAGUAGCAUAAGUUGUUUAACAUAAUUUAAAACCUCAUAUUCUAUCAUAAAACACCAAAAUACACAAAAUUCAGCCAUGGGUAUUUUUCCAAAUAUGAACCCUAUGUUGAAUUAUUGCUAGAAUAAGCUUAAUCAAGUUACCGGGACUCCAAAAACGUAAAGAUCAUUAAAAACGGGGCUUGGAAUCACUUACUAUGAAGCUUGAAAGUUGAAGAAAUCCCAGCUAUGGAGGAGAGCAAAAAUUGGCAGAAACUAAUUGAGAAGAUGACCAUUUUUGUGUUAUUUUUCCCUUUUUAAUUCAUUUAAUAUCCAAAUGACCAAAUUACCCCUCCUUACUAAACUUUCAAAAAUUCCUUCAAUGUCCUAAUUUUUGUCCAUGAACUUAAAAUUGGUCAAAUUGUUAUUUAAACCCUCCUAAUUAAUAUUCCAAAGUAAUUUCAUACUAAAAACUUCUAGAAUGCAAGUUUUGCAAAUUAUUCGAUUUAGUCCCUAACCUCAACUUAAGCACUUUAUGCAUAGAAUUUCAUCACAAAAUUUUCACACAAUCAUGCAAUCAUACCAUGAACCUCAAAAUAAUAAUAAAAUAAAUUUUUCUACCUCAAAUUUGUGGUUUCGCAACCACUAUUCCGUUUAGGCCCUAUUUCGGGAUGUUACAAGGUCCUCCCAAGUUCAGCAAUAGCUCCGGUGAAGCAAGCAGCAGGGAGAAGAAGAGAAAAAGAAAGAAAAAGAGAAGGAGAAUGAGAAGGAGAGGGUGGCACUGGUGAGGGAAAAAGAAGAAAGAAAAAGAAAAAGAGAAUGAGAGAAUAGAGAGAAAGAAGGAAGGAGAAAGAGAAGAGAAAAAAAUCUAAUAGAGAAAAGGUAAUUUAUUUUAUUUUAUUUUAUAAAGGAGGCCGUGCAUCCUUGGUGCCGCCUCUGGCACCUCCACCUUCAGUCUGCCUCUGGCACCUCCUCCGUCACUUUUUUUACCAGCUUUUUAGUUUUUUUUAACAAAUUUUUAUUUUUUUAAAUUUUUUAAUAGAUUUUUUGUCAGAUUUUGGGGUGGUUACGCCUCUGACAUAGGCAACACCACCCCGAGUGUACCAUUUUGGUACAUGAUAUUUUUAUUGUAUUAUUUUUAUGUGUGUGUGUGUUUUUUUUUUGGUACUAUUUUGGUAAAAAACCCAAACUAAACUGACAAAAUUAAAAGCACCACUAAUUUUAUCAUUAUCAAGGGCUUCAAAUAACUUCAUAGGGGCUUUUGGCAAGACAUGUACCCCUUUUGCAUCCACAAUAACUAUAUUUACAAUACGACCAACAACAUGAUUAGUCUCCCUAGGUAUAUGCCUUAUCACCCAAUGUUCUUUGUUUUGUAACAACUGCUGAAUUUGCACGGCUAAUGCUGAAAUCAAAUUUGGUGAAGUUCUUCCUUGGAUUGCUUGGGAUGCCUUAAGGCUAUCAAUUUGGAAUAAAUGAACUAAAUCCUAAACAUGGCUGAACUCAUAGUAGUGGGGUUAAAGUCAAUUCGAAAAAAAUGACAUUUAAGUUAUUAAUGUCCUAAAUUAAAAUAUAUUUUUUAGGUAUGAUCAAAGAUAGAUUUCAUGUUUAAGGUUCAUAAAGAUAAAUUUUCGAGGUUACACUACAGGAAAAUAGGGCUUUAGCGGCGUUUUUUGAAAAAACGCCGCCAAAAUUUUAAAAUUCAGAGCAAUAGCGGCGUUCUAAAAAAAACGCCGCUAAAAACAGAGCAACAGCGGCGUUUUAGUAAAAAACAGAGCUAAAAGCCAGAGCAUUAGCGGCACUUUCUGUAAAACGCCACUAAAAGCCAGAGCAUUAGCGGCGCUUUCGGUAAAACGCCGCUAAAAGCCAGAGCAUUAGCGGCGCGUUAGGUAAAACGCCGCUAAAAGCCAAAGCAUUAGCGGCGCUUUCGGUAAAACGCCGCUAAAAAUCUCAUAACCCCUAGAAUCAUAAACACUAAUCUAUAACCCCUAAAACAAUAAUUAUUAAAAUUUAUGAUUAUACAAUAUAUUAAAUAUUUUCUUAUAUAAUCGUAAAAGAGAUAGCAUUGAAUUUAAAAUAUUGAAUUAAUUAUCAUUAUAGUUUAAGGUUUAUGGUUUAAGCAGGUUUAAUUAUGGUUAACUAUGGUUUAAGGUUUAGGAGUUAAUUAGUAUUUGAAGGUUUAUGAUGAAUUCGGGGUUUAAGGAUUAUGAUUUAGGGUUUAAAGGUUAGGGUUAAAGUUUACAAUGGGACAAUUAUUAAUUAACUUCUUAAGAGAUAAUUUCCUUUCCAGAUUCUUACUUGGGAUGCUAUUAAGAAAGGGUGAUUUUGAAUGUGGAAUUAGCAUUUGUUGAACUAUGUAUAAUUUCUUAUAUAACAUAGAAAUAUCUUACAGAGUGGACAUUAUAACUAGAGUGUUCCAAUAGAGAAUUAAUUGUUUUAUUAAAGUUAUGUAACUUUGUAUAAAUAAUAAUGCUAUUGUGUAUUUUUAAUUAUCUAUUUUUUUGUUUAAAUAUAUUUAGAUUAAAUAGAAUGACUGAAAUAAAAUAUGUUAAAAAUUAAGUUUAGGUUAGGGUUUAAGGAAAUGAUACUAUUAGCUAGAAAUUAACUGAAGAAAAUUUGGAUUUUACUAAGAUUCAUGUUAUUUUGUAUAUACGUACUCAUAUUAUUUAAUAUAAGAAUAUAAACAUAUAUAUGUGUUUUAAUUUGUACUACACUAACAUUGGCCACACGAAUUCCCAAUAAUAUGUUUAUUAUGGUUUAGGGUUAACAAUUUUUAGAGUACUUUACUGUUUGGGCUUUAUGGUCUAGGAGUUAUGGUUGGUUUAGGGGUUACCGAAUGGUUUUGGGGUUUAAAGUUUGGGGCUAGGGGUUCUGUGUUUGUGGUCUAAGGUUUAGGGUUUUAGAGUAUCAAGUUUAGGGUUUCAAAUUUAGAGUAUAAUUUUGGAUUUUAAUUUAGAAGAUAAAUGUAUAUAAGAUAAAUAUAUAUAAAAUAUUAUUUUAAAAAAUAUAUAAAUAUAUAUAUGAAAAGUGAUUUAGUGUGCAAUUGUGUACAUGAACUGUGAUUUGAUUUAGAUCUUGUAAAAUAUUUACACGUUAUUGAUAUAAUUAUAAAUAGCAUCAUGUUUUUAUUUAAUUAAUUUACAUGCAUACAUAAUAUGUAUUUUAAAAUGUGUAUUAAAUCAAAAUUAAAGUUUCAACUAUAGUUAGGGUUUUAGGGUUUAUAUAUAAUUUAAAAGAAAUUCUAAAUAUAUAGUUUUAAAUUUUGAUCAAUUUCUAUAAAAUAUUCAGGUAUUAGCGGCGUUUAUACAUAAAACGCCGCAAAAGAUAGAAAAUAGCGGCGUUUUUAUAAAAAAACACCACAAAAUUUCAUUAUAGAUUAAAGUAAAACGGCGUCGUUUCCUCUGAAUAGUAGUGGCUUUAGCGGCGUUUUUAUAAUAAACGCCACAACGCGUAUUAGAACGGCAUCAUUUUAUAGUGUAGAUAAAAUAGGUGUUAGUGGCGCUUUGCUGAAAACGCUGCAAAAUGUCUUAUUAGCGGCGCGUUGCUGAAAACGCCACAAAUUUCCCUUAUUUGAAACGGUGUCAUUUUUUCUCUCCUGAGGUUUAUGCCCUUUACCCGAAAUCAAUUUCAUUUUUUUACUAAGUCAUUUUCCCCCAUCUUGUCUUCCUUCUCCAAAUCCCCAAUCCCUAACGAUUUUCCCUUAAUCUGUUCCCCCAUCCCCGAAAUCCCUAACGAUUUUCCCUUUCCUCUCGUCGACGGUCAUAUGCUUCAUUUCUCUCUCAAUUCUCCUCAUUUUCGCUUUCUCAGGAGCAAAACAGGUGCGUUUUUUUAAAACUUUUCUUGUUCAUUUUUAUAUACCCAUUUCUUGGAUUAUGUGUAAAUAUGUUGCCCUUUGGAUCUGAUUUGGAUUUUUUUGUUUAUUUCUUGUUUUUGGUACUGUAGAACAGAUUUGGGUUUUUAUUUAAAUUUAGUUUCAUGAAUUUGGUUGGUUGUGUUUCGUUUUGAUUUGAUUUUGUUGAUCUGUGUGGAAUUUUCUUGAAUUUAUUGGAUUUUUUUUUCAUUUUUUGAUAUUGUAUAUCUCAGAUUGCAUUGAAUAGUCUAGUUUUAUGUUGCUUUAAGUAUUAGUUUACUUAAAGUACUUAAGUACAUGGAAAAAAAUUAGAAAAAAAAUGAAUACAUUUAUGUUAUACAUACAUACAUACAUAUAUAUAUUCAUAUCAUAAGCCUAGUUUUACUUCAAGUACUCAUGUUCGAACCCUUUUAAAUACAUAAAAAGAAUCUAGAAAAAAAUAAAAUUGAGUACAUCUAUGUUAGAUAAGUAUCUGUAUCUGACACUAACAUCUAAGUAAUAUAGGCUUAGUUUAAAGCUUGUUUCUGUGAUACCCUUCAUGAAAGAUGCAAUACUCUUAUAAUCUGAGCAUUCGCUUGUUCGAAAUUUGAACUUUAUAACUGAAUGUGCUUGGUUGAGACAAGCUCGAGGCUGCAAUUUCCUUUAAUGUUUAUCGAUCUUGAUAGAUUAAUGCAAUAAUAGUUCGCAUUUUGUGCUUCUUAGGAGGAAGAGAAGAUUGUAGAAGAAGAGCAUGAAAUCACUCACAGAGUAUACUUGGAUGUGGAUAUUGAUGGCCAGUGUGUAGAUACAACGCCUUCACCUAUUCCUACAGGAUAGGAUAAGUGAUGAGAAGAAAUCUUAUCCUUUUUUUAGCUUACAUUUUCUUUUUUGUGUAAUUUGUGUUUUACAGGUAGAAUAGUUAUUGGAUUGUAUGGCGAAGUUGUACCAAAAACUGUCGGUAUGUUUUAAAUUUUAAUUUUUCGUCCAGUAGUUUUAGUUCUUUGUAAACUUAAUUUCUUGAAACCGUUGGCUCGUUAGCAAAAUGUACAAGCUACUCUCAGCCUUGUCAUAUGCCGUUAAUUGGUAAAAGUACCAUGAAAGCCUCUAUACUAGGAGUCGGAUUGCAUUUUGUACCAUUAAAUGUUGUUUAUUUUUAGAACUCAUUUGAUUGUUUGUCGACCAGAAACAGACUUCUGUUCUUCAAAUGCAAUGAGUAGGGAAGUCUCUCGACAUUAUUAGAGAUCAAUCCCAAGCAUCUCCAAAUAAACCCUCAAGAAAACAUUUCCAAUUCAAUCAAGGUAAACAUUGUCUUCCCUAACAUUUAUGUUUCUUUCAACAUGUUUUUACUUUUAUGUUGAUAACCUCAUUUAAGAUACUUUUUUUUAAUUUAGGAUAAAAAAGAGUGGGAAACUUUUAGACUGGACUUUAAUUUCUUCCUUUUCCAACCUAAUUGCUAGAAAUGUAAGGAACAAAAAGGAAGAAAGUGAAAAAGUAUAUUCCCAUUCUCACAUGUUAUGUUUUCUCUUUAGCUUUCAAGCUUUAGCUAGCCACCAUCAUUAUUUAAUCUUCAACACUCUCCUUGAUUAAUUCCCUUAAACAAAUUCAAAUCAUUAUUAUCCAAUGUUUCUUAAACAAUUGCAUUUCAUUAUUAUAAUUUUUUCAAGGGUCCCAUUAAAAUGGUUUUUAUGAAUUUAACCUAAAAUUUAUUAUAUUUCUAUCAAAUAUGAUGUUUUUUGUCCGAAUAAUGUACAUUUACAUCAUUAAUUUGGUAAUAAGGUGUAAUAUUCUUGAGACUUGUUUUGUGGGCCGGCAAGAGUUGGAUUUGAUAUUAACGACAUUGAUUUAUGUUUAAUUUAAUAUAUUAUCAUAAAUCUUAAUUAAAAUUUAAAAGACAUUAAGUCUUUAGAUUAUGACAAUGAUUUAAACAUUCAGAAACUUAUGUACAACGUUAUGUGUGAUGUGUAUCAGAAUUCAGAAAAUAAAAAUAUCACAGCAUUUGUUUAUUCUUUUAAGACAGGAAAGUGCCUUAGUGUUCGAUUCAAACGAUAGUUAUUUGUGUUUCUCAUUUUAAUCCUCUUUAUUCCUUUGUCCUCAUGCCAUCUUGUUUCUAACAAUGUAAUCACCGCAAAAUGAGUUUAGGACUUGGGUGUACCAGGUUUAACCUCUCAGCUAGAGUUUAAUUUGAAUUUAGUUGGACGAUAGUUAUGUUAGUUUUCAUCAAGGCCUCUGUAAACAUAAAGUUGGUAUUCUGGUUAGGAGAAGUUAAUGUUUAUGAGUUUUGUGCAGUAUGAUUCUGCACAUGCAAAGUUGGUUUGUUUAAAGCUGUGCAUUUUCAUGUUUACAUAAUAAUGGUGAUUCCAUUUUGGUUUUUUAGAUGUUCUUUUGGUCUGUUUUCAUGUUUCUAUCCAACUUAUGUGUUUACUGUGCAGUUUUGCCAGAUUUUGCUGUGGUGUACAGCUUCAUUGGCAGUGUCUUUGAUCCUGGUACAAGUGGGCACUUGCAAAACUGAUAUAGAUAAAGUUUUUAUAUUUGCUUAAACUGAAAUAUAUUUGUGCUACUCUUAUAAUCUUACGUCUGUUCUAGGUACUAUCGAGCUCCUGAAUUAAUAUUUGGUGCAACUAAAUACACCACAGCUAUUGGCAUUUGUUCUAGGUACGUACAGGUUUGGUUGCUAAAUUUUUUUCAUUAUUUCUAUGCAUUUUCACUUUAAAUUACUUAACAAAUAUUACUUUUUUGACUCCAGCCUCUGUUUGCUGGUGAGAGUGGAGUAGACCAGGUACGUUUUAUUAAGGUAGGCUUUAUUUCAAAAUUAUAAUCAAUAAUAGUUUUAUCAUGAUGAUUUUGGAAAAAUUAAUAUUUUGGGGUUGCGAUAUUGUAAAGAUUUAAUUGUUGGUUCUGUUUGGAGUAAAACUAUUUUGUUUCCAAGUUAAUUUUAAAUAUUUGGUUCAACUUAAUUAUUAUUUGAUUCAACUUAAGUAUGAAUAGGUAUGAAUUAAUUUUAUUACCGUGUAGCUUGCUUGUCCAUUAAAAUUACAACAAUAGCUGACCUUCUCUCCAACCUUGUUUUAAAUAUUUUAAAGAUUCAAAGUAUAUAGGCUGGAAACCUGACGGGUUGCCUUAUAUCGAGCUGCAAGAUAUAAUGGAUCCUCCCUAGGUGUAACAACGCCACGUAUGAUGAAUCUUAAAAAAUUCAAAAAGACUUGAAAAAAGUUCUAUCGAGCUCAUUUACUAUUGAAUAUUUAUAUAACCUUAAUUUAUUUCCAAUUUACUUAUAAAAAUUAAACUACGAUUCUUUUUGAUAUUAUUAUAUUCAAAAUACUAUUUUUUUAUAUUAAUAAUGUUUGAUUUUAAUAUUUAAAUAUUUUAAAGAUUCAAAGUAUAUAGGCUGGAAACCUGACGGGUUGCCUUAUAUCGAGCUGCAAGAUAUAAUGGAUCCUCCCUAGGUGUAACAACGCCACGUAUGAUGAAUCUUAAAAAAUUCUCCGUUUUAUCACAAUAUUAUCGUCCAUUUUACCGUUUAAGUUAAACUUUUUAUUCAAACUAAAUCAUAGCUUUUAACCUAAAUACGGAUGUCCACACAGUGCUUUAAUAUGUACUUAAGAAAAGAUGACUUGUAAAACAUAAAUUAAAUUAAGUGUGGACUAUUUUAAUUGCACAUGUGAUUUGUCAAAUAAAAACGAACGACAUGUAUAUUACUUAAUUAAAAUAAUUUUUAUAAAUAUUAUUUAAUUAAAUAUUAUUUAAUCCCGCUACUUACCUGUAGAUACUUGAUACUUGAUAUGUAUUAUCCAUGUGAUUUUCCACAUCGUGAAAUAAAAAACUUACAUAAUACAUAAAUAUAUUUGAUAUCAUAAUUUAUAUAACUUACAAAACGUACAUAACUUAUAUAACGUAGAUAAAUAUAUAAUUUACAUAAAUAUAUAUCAUAAAUUACAUAACUUACAUAAUACUUAAAUAUAUCAUAUCAUACAUAACUAGUUUACAAAUUUACUUAACUUACAUAAUACAUAAAUCUAUAGUUGAAAAUCCUGCAACUUGCCUAAAUUAGUUUUAUACCCAUUAGAGACUUGAUAUUUAGUAUAAUGAUAUGAUUUAAAUCAAUGAGAACAUUUAAGUAACUGUAAUAUGUUGUCAACUUUAGAUUUCAAGAACUACAAAAUGGAUAGGAGUUGGAUGAAAUUGUCAAGGGUAAGCAAUGCCUAUCAAAAUGGAGUACAAACUUUUCUAAAUUUUGCAUUUCAAAUGCAAGCCAAGAGAAUAUGAUUCUUUGCCCGUGUAAGAAGUGUGGCAACAUCUACUGGCAUUUUCGUGAAGUUGUAUACGAACAUCUAAUUGUUGAUGGCUUUAUUCGGGGGUAUAAAAAAUGGAUUUUCCAUGGAGAGUGUACAUCUAGUGGAACUUCUUCAACGAUUAAUCCGACUUAUCCUGAUACUGAUUACCAUCAGUAUGUUAGACAAGAUGACAUGGAAGAUAUGUUGCGGGAUGCAUUUAAUAUGCGUAGUCAUGGUGAGCAAUCGUUUCCACCUGACUUUAUUAUAUCUGAGGAUUGUAAUAUUGGUGGAAAUGUUUUUUGCGAAACGGGAACAAGUGCACCUAAUGAGGAGCCAAAUGAAGAAGCGGCUAAGUUCUACAAUUUACUUAAUGAAAUGAAUGAAGAACUUUACGAGGGAUCAAAAUAUUCGAAAUUGUCCUUCUGCAUUCGUCUAUUCAUUUAAAAUGUUUGGGAGGGUGGACCGGAAACUCUUUUACAAUGCUGCUAGAGUUUCUAAGAGAGAUGUUUUCGUUUGCAAAAAUUCCCCAGUCUUGUCAAGACAUGAAGAGACUAAUAAAAGAUUUGGGCCUUGGGUACGAUAAAAUUCAUAGUUACCCAAAUGACUGCAUGUUGUACUGGGGUGAUAAAAAAAACCAACAAUUUUGUCAUGUUUGCGGUAAGUCUCGUUGGAUGAAUAGUAAUACAGAAGAUGUGAAUACGGAUGAAGGUGGGGCACAGUUAAGAAAGAAGCCAGUCAAGGUCUUGCGAUAUUUUCCCCUGAUACCAAGACUUCAAAGGCUUUUCAUGUCCUCAAAGACAGCCGAAUAUAUGACGUGGCAUAAUGAUCAACGGACCGAUGAUGGAUUAUUAAGACAUCCUUCGGAUUCUUUAGCUUGGAAAUCAUUUGACAGUAAAUUUCCAAGCUUUGCAAGCGAUCCUCGGAAUGUGAGGCUUGGGCUAGCAGCUGAUGGCUUUAAUCCAUUUAAAAUCAUGAGUACUUCGUACAGUACUUGGCCUGUAGUGCUUGUUCCUUACAAUUUGCCUCCAUGGAUUUACAUGAAGCAAUCUUCAUUUAUUUUAUCAAUGAUUAUCCCUGGAGAGAAAGGUCCCGGAACAUGAUAUUGACAUCUAUUUGCAGCCACUUAUUGAAGAGUUAAAACAAUUAUGGUCGGGUGUUGAGACAUAUGAUGUAUUGAGAAAGGAGAACUUUAAUUUACGUGCAGCUUUAUCGUGGACAAUUAAUGAUUUCCCGGCUUAUGCUAAUUUAUCGGGUUGGAGUACUAAAGAACGUUAUGCCUGUCCUUGUUGUGCUGCGCAAACUUGUUCAAAGUGGUUGUAUAAUGGGAAGAAGUUCUCUUACAUGGGCCAUCGUCGGUGGUUAGAUGAAAUCAUAAAUUUAGAUUUCAGAGGACUCUAUUUGACGGUACUAAAGAGUACAGAGGAGCUCCUGAGCAGACCGUUGGAUCUGAAAUCUUGUUUAUGUUAAAAGAUAUCAACUUUAGUUACGGGAAGAUGAAUCAACCACCUAUCACGCAAACAAGGAGAAGAUCGAUGGAUGAAUCUGAUGAUGAAUCUGACGAAGAGGAUGAUCCUAAUGAGGCGGAGUUGUGGAAGAAAAUGAGUAUUUUUUUGAGUUGCCUUAUUGGGAGCACAACAUUUUACGCCACAAUCUUGAUAUCAUGCAUAUUGAAAAGAAUGUCUGCGAGAACAUAAUUGGGACAAUUUUAAAUGUCGAUGGAAAAUCAAAAGACAAUCUUCAGAGCCGACUUGAUUUAGUUGACAUAAGAAUCCGGCGUGAUCUUCAUCCUCAAGUACUUCCGAAUGGGAAAUAUCGGUUGCCGCCUUCUAUUUUUUCAAUGUCAAAGAAAGAGAAAGAAGUUUUCUGCAUGGUGUUGAAGGAUAUAAAGGUCCCAGAUGCAUAUGCGUCAAAUAUAUCUCGAUGUGUGAGUUUCAAAGAUAGAAGAUUAUAUUCAAUUAAAAUCACAUGAUUACCACAUCUUGAUGCAAGAUUUACUCACAAUUGCUUUACGGUGCUGUAUGUCAAAAAAUGUAACGUCCUGUAUAAUUGAACUAUCCAAUAUAAUGAAAGCUAUCUGUGGCAAAGUUUUGAAUGUCGAAGAACUUGAGAAAGUACAGGAUCGAGCGGCUUUAACUUUAUGCAAUUUAGAGAAGAUCUUUCCACCUUCCUUCUUCACUAUUAUGGUGCACUUGGUAAUCCAUCUCCCUCACGAAGCAAUCCUUGGUGGACCGGUUUUUUAUCGAUGGAUGUAUCCUAUAGAAAGGUGCUAAUUUAUUUCUCAAGUAUUCAUUCAUUCACCUCUAUACAUUAGUUACAAGCUUUUGAUAAUAUUGUAUAUCGUGUUAGGUUCCUAAGCAAAUUGAAGUCAUAUUGUCGCAACAAGCGUUAUCCAGAAGGAUCAAUUGCUGAAGGCUUACUUGGCAGAAGAGUGCAUGACCUUCUGUUCUAGAUAUUUAGAAGAUGCUGAAACACGAUUGAAUAGACCAAGUAGAAAUGCUGGGCUCAAUGAUAAUGACUUGGCUUAAACUUAUUUAUUUCAAAGUUAUGGAGAACCAAUCGGCAAAGUUGAAAUUGUAGAAUUAGAUGAUAUAUCGUGAAUACAGGCACAUCGAUAUGUACUUUUUAACCACGAUUCAAUUGAACCGUUGCGCAAGUAAGUUAUAAAAUUGUCUUACAUAUUCGUCGGUUUGAUUUGUUUAUCUUCUAACCAAUUAAACUUGUUUUUAAUAUAGUGAGUACAAACAAAUUUUGAGAUCUCGUGCACGCUCUCGAAGAUUACAACAUCGAGAGAUUAAUAAGUUAUUCACAGAAUCUUUUCAUGAAUGGUUAAGUCAAACGGUAUGUAACUAAAGUUAAUAAGUUACAUAUAAUCGCGAAAUUAGUUAAUCAAAUAAGAAUGUUUUUACAUAAUACAUUUUUUAAUUAUUUAAUUUACUUUCGAUUCAAUAGGUUUUGGAGUGGGAAGGACGUCAAUGACGAAGUUAAAUGGCUUUCCCAAGGUCCGAACAGAGUAAUAAAAAGAUAUAGUGCCUUCCUCAUCAAUGGAUACAGAUUCAUACAACGUAUCGCGAGAGAAUGAGGAGAACUCAAAAUUGUGGAGUUGUUGUUAAUUCUUCAAUUACAAGUAUGCUAGUGCUAGGGAUAGUAAUCCGGUUGAGGGUAAUGUGGAGUAUUACGGACUUCUUACCGACAUUAUUGAGUUGGAUUACUAUGGCAGAUGGAAAGUUAUCUUAUUUCGGUGUGAUUGGGCAGAUGUUAAUACUGCUCGAAAAAAAAGAUCAAUUUGGGUUUACAAUGGUGAAUUUCUCUCGCUUGAUUCACACUGGACAACAAUUGAUGGACGAGCCAUAUGUAUUUUCCUCUCAAGUGAAACAAGUUUUUUAUUCAAAAGAUCCAACUGAUGAGGGUUGGUAUGUUGUACUCCGGAACACCCCUAGAGACUUGUUUGACAUGGGUAAUGGAAGUAGAGAUGACAUCGUCGAAGAUCAGAAACAUUACCUUUUCUAGAACAAAACUUAGAUGAAAAUCCCUAGUACUAAUACACAACAUCAAUGGGUUCGACAUGAUGUGGAUGAAGAUAUUUACGAAUAAUGAUGUAGUAAGAUUUUACAAUUUUUUAAUUAUAUGUAAUAUUAUAAUUUUAAUCUUUGUCAUGUUAUAUAAUUUAACUAUUUUUAUAUACUACUAUAGUUGUAAUUUGUUACUAAAACUUUAAUUAUUUUAUGUGUAUUGCAGGAAAAAUGCGUAGAAGAAGAGUACGAGAUUUAAGUAUUGUCCAGAAUACUCCAAAUUCGGAAGAAAGAAAUAGUGAACAGCAGACAGUUGUUGGAUCUUCGAAUGUGCCGGAGACACUUGAUGAGCCUGAAGAAUUUCAAAGUAUAUUAUGUUCAUUUUACAUGUGUUGACUUUUAUUAUUGAAUUAUUUGUCAAUUUUACUAUAAUAAUAGUAUCAUUUUUCAGCUGAAAGUGGUGGGACGCGCAGAGUUCGAGGACGUACGCUACUUAGAGAUUUAUACGACUUAGAUCCUGUUGAGCGUGUUAAAGUAAGUAGAAAUACUCAUGGUUAGCCUGUUGGAUCUGAAGCUCGACUUUUAGCAGGCUAUUUGGGCAUUUUAGCACGAAAUGCAAAUAUAUUGCCCAUCAACUAUGAAUCAUGGCAUCACAUGCCUGAUAGCAACAAAAAUCAGGCUCUCGCUAAUAUUAAGGUAACAAAAUGUGAAUGCAAUUAAUACUUUGGUUUAAGUUCAUUUAUAUUUACAUUCUAAACUUAUGUUUUUUUAGGAGAGAUUUCUUUAGAAGUCUCCGAUGAUUAUAUCAAGAAGGCAUUAGGUAAAAGAUGGAGAGACAAUAAAAGCACUUUAAAGAAACAAUAUUUUAAGAAAGACAUAAGCCUCGAGGAAAAACUGAGAAAUGUUCCGCCAGGAAUGCUGAGGUAUCAAUGGGAAGAUGCGGUUAGAUUUUGGAAUUCAAAGAAUGAGAGGUAUUGCGUAUUUCCAAACUCUUAUAUAUAGUUAUAUACGUAAUAAUAAUUUUAUUAUGUAGGACUGUGAGCGAGUUGGAACAACAGCAGGCAAAAACAAAAAUUCACGCACACGGCUGGGUCGAGAAGUUUUGCUUCUGUAGCUGAGGCCGAGGUAUUAUGAAUUUAUUAAUUCUUUCAAAUUAAUAACUUUCUAUUAUUAAAUAAUAUUCUUACUAUAUUGUAGGAAGUCAAAUCCGGAUAAAAGUUGGACGCCUUCACUUUUUGAGAUUACGCAUAGGAAGAAAGAUGGAUCUCCUAUGACAUCCGAAGCUGGAAAUUAUGGUAUAUUCACUAAUAAUAUUUGAUUUAUUCUAAAUAUUUAUAAUCUCUUAAUUAUAAUUGUUUAAUUCAAUUCAUCAUUAGUAGUUUUAAAAAAUGUUAAGUUAUGAUGCAUUUCUUUUAUUAUAUAUUCGUUUCUAACUCUUUAAUUGAUUUUUUUAGGAGAAACUAAAGGAGAAGAAGGCGGAAUAUGAAGCGAUUGCUUCGAGUGAUAGUUCUGUUAAUCUUGAGAACAUUGAUAACAGAAUUAUCACUGAAGUUUUGGGUCUUGAAAGGUACGGUCGGGUUCGAUUUCAAGGAUCUGGUGUUACCCGACCCAAUAUUUUGGAUCCGGCUCCCAGCAAUACAUGCCUUCCGGAAGUCAAGCUCAAGCUGAAGUUCAGAGGUUAAGAGACCAGAUAGCUCAGAUGCAAGCGAACACGGUUGAGCAAAUUGCCGAGGUUCAACGAAAAUAUGAAGAACUCCAGCAACAACUUAGAGCAGAAGCAGCAGAGAGGGAGGCAGCGGCUGUAGCGAGAGGCAGAGGCACGAGCGAUGGUAGCAGAACAGAGCAAAAAGUACGAUGACCUCCAGCUACAGCUUCAGCAGAUGAUGCAUAUGUUUCAACAAUCGCAAAAGCCGCCGUCUUAGACAUUAGUUUUCUUAUUGUAAGAAUGUUUUUAAGUUUUGUCACGUUUAACAUUAUUGUAAAAAUAUUUUAAAUUAUACUUUAUUAUUAAUUAUAUCAUAUAUCUUUAGUUAAAUUUGAAGUAUCAUUAGAAUUAAUAUUUUUGGUUGUAUUUUUUAUGUUAAAUUUGCUGUUUUGGGCUGCAUUUUAUAUUAUAUUUGUUGUAUUUGGUUGGAUUUUAAUGCAGGAAGGGCUGAAUAUUGGUGAAAAAAAAUACUACAAAUCUGCCCAAAUUUAGUGGCGUUUGUAAAAAAAGCGCCACUAAAAGCCUUAACGUUUAGCGGCGCUUUUCCCACAAAUGCCGCUAAAAGCCUUGACCUUUAGCGGCGUUUUUUUCCAAUAAACGCCACAAAUUUUUGUGGUGUUACAUAUAACAGUGUUUUUUGCGGCGUUUUAGAAAGCGCCGUUAAAAGUUUUAGUGGCGCCUAAAAGCGCCGCUAAAAGUCUGUUUUCCUGUAGUGCAACUUAAUUGUUUUCCUUGUAUUUGUGCUUAAUUGGAAAAUAUCCUAAUCUUGUGAGAAUUAUUCUUUAUUUUUGUUUCUUUUUAUUUUCUUUGAGAGGGUUUGUGCCUUAAGGGAGUUUGUAAGGUUAAAUCUUAUCCUCAAAGGUUAUCGAAUUAAUGAAUUUGAGAAAAUUCUUAGUAGUGGAAAGUUAAGGCAGUGGAGUAGAUAAUUGGGGCUAAACCACUAUAAAAUCUUGUGUUCAUUUUUCUAUCCUUUAUCUCUAACAUCCAUAAAAUUUUUAAAAGUCAAUUCACCCAUUUCUUGGCAAUUUCAAUUUAAUUAUUUGAGCUAUCAGUUCGUUAAUAACCCUUCCCACAAGACCACCCAAAAAAAUGUUAGACUCGAUACGACAUAGACAACUUCCAAACCAGUUUACAACUGUCAUUUGGUGAUCCUAAAUUACCACAUAUAAUUUCUUUAUAUGUCGUUGCUACGAAGAACCUCUCCGAGGUAGCUGGUUUUUGUAUACAUUAAUAAGACCCAAUGUUCAACAGGGGUACAAGCAUAGUUGCAAUGCUAUCACGUAUUUAAGCAUGAAGCAUAUUGACCAUCCCCUUCCAAUCCCAAUGCAAUCACGAUGUCCAUAACCAAUAUGUCUUCAAACCUCGGCGACGGGGAUGUAACAAGUUCAAUUAAUGGCCCCACGACCGACAAAAAAUCAUCCACCCAAAAUCGGACUAAGGUACCAUUCUCAAUAGUGUUGGAUCUACUGUCUUAAGUGUAGAAUAUUCGUUUUGCAUACUUGUAUUUUCAAACAAAUUGACUUAAUAAUAAUAUCCAUUAAUUACUUUUUGUAUCUUGCCCUCAAUGUUUUUGCAUGCAAAGCAAAAUGAAAGCAAAUAUUGACUCACUAGUUAUCUAACGUUUAACUAAUACUAAGCAUAUUACGUGGUCGGAUUGUAAUACGAAAAGACAACUUGUACUAGUAGAUGAACCUAAACAUGUCCUUAAUCUAAUCAGAAAAAGAAAACCAAUUGAAAGACUAAUAUGUCAUUUAUCAAGUCUGAUUGGGGAGAUGUUUUGUCUUGAGCAUCGGAGCAGAGGACUCCUUAAAAGAUAAGACAUAGAAGUGACUGGCUAAACUGACUGUAAAUCAAACAAGACUCUAGUAGAAUAGAUCCUAGAUCUAUUUAUGGAUUUAUUCACUUGUGAUUAGACCUGUCCACGGGCCGAGCCACCUAUCUUGGCAUGAAGGCCUACUUGAAAAGUGGGAGGGUUUGGGUACAAAUAUAGGCCCGAAAAAUGGGCUUGAGAAAAAAAUAGAAAAUGGAUCGGGCCUUGGAUAAUGCUUUUUUGGCCCGGGCACAGCCCGAAUAAGCAAAAAAAAAAAUGCUGCUUUUUCCUUGUUGUCUUUUACUUUUUUUUCCUAUUUUCUUGUUUUUUUUUUUCACUUUUUUGCUACUAUUUCACUAUUAUGUUGGUAUUAUUUUGUUGUUAUUGUUUGGAUAUUGUAGAACUCUUGUUUUAUUGUUAAUUUUAUUACUAUUUUAGAGACAUUUGCUUGUUAAAUUACAAUUAUCUUAGUGUUAUUUAAGUCUACAUAUAUAUUUAUUUUCAAUUUAUUUGGGAAACAUUUAUUUUAAUAUUUUUAUAUUUUUGAUGUAUUAUAUUUUUUAAAAAAUUAUAUAAUAUAAUAUAAAAAUUAAUAUGGGUGAGCCAAGCUUGGGCAAAAUCUUAGGCCCAUUUUUUGGGUCGGGCUUGGGCCUAACAAAUGGACCNNNNNNNNNNNNNNNNNNNNNNNNNNNNNNNNNNNNNNNNNNNNNNNNNNNNNNNNNNNNNNNNNNNNNNNNNNNNNNNNNNNNNNNNNNNNNNNNNNNNNNNNNNNNNNNNNNNNNNNNNNNNNNNNNNNNNNNNNNNNNNNNNNNNNNNNNNNNNNNNNNNNNNNNNNNNNNNNNNNNNNNNNNNNNNNNNNNNNNNNNNNNNNNNNNNNNNNNNNNNNNNNNNNNNNNNNNNNNNNNNNNNNNNNNNNNNNNNNNNNNNNNNNNNNNNNNNNNNNNNNNNNNNNNNNNNNNNNNNNNNNNNNNNNNNNNNNNNNNNNNNNNNNNNNNNNNNNNNNNNNNNNNNNNNNNNNNNNNNNNNNNNNNNNNNNNNNNNNNNNNNNNNNNNNNNNNNNNNNNNNNNNNNNNNNNNNNNNNNNNNNNNNNNNNNNNNNNNNNNNNNNNNNNNNNNNNNNNNNNNNNNNNNNNNNNNNNNNNNNNNNNNNNNNNNNNNNNNNNNNAGAAAAUCUCUCCUAAAAAAACAUAAGUUUAGAAUGUAAAUAUAAAUGAAACUUAAACCAAAGUAUUAUAAAUUGCAUUCACAUUUUGUUACCUUAAUAUUAGCGAGAGCCUGAUUUUUGUUGCUAUCAGGCAUGUGAUGCCAUGAUUCAUAGUUGAUGGGCAAUAUAUUUGCAUUUCGUGCUAAAAUGCCCAAAUAGCCUGCUAAAAGUCGAGCUUCAGAUCCAACAGGCUAACCAUGAGUAUUUCUACUUACUUUAACACGCUCAACAGGAUCUAAGUCGUAUAAAUCUCUAAGUAGCGUACGUCCUCGAACUCUGCGCGUCCCACCACUUUCAGCUGAAAAAUGAUAUACUAUUAUUAUAGUAAAAUUGACAAAUAAUUCAAUAAUAAAAGUCAACACAUGUAAAAUGAACAUAAUAUUACUUUGAAAUUCUUCAGGCUCAUCAAGUGUCUCCGGCACAUUCGAAGAUCCAACAACUGUCUGCUGUUCACUAUUUCUUUCUUCCGAAUUUGGAGUAUUCUGGACAAUACUUAAAUCUCGUACUCUUCUUCUACGCAUUUUUCCUGCAAUACACAUAAAAUAAUUAAAGUUUUAGUAACAAAUUACAACUAUAGUAGUACAUAUAAAAUAGUUAAAUUAUAUAACAUGACAAAGAUUAAAAUUAUAAUAUUACAUAUAAUUAAAAAAUUGUAAAAUCUUACUACAUCAUUAUUCGUAAAUAUCUUCAUCCACAUCAUGUCGAACCCAUUGAUGUUGUGUAUUAGUACUAGGGAUAUUUUCAUCUAAGUUUUGUUCUAGAAAAGGUAAUGUUUCUGAUCUUUCGACGAUGUCAUCUCUACUUCCAUUACCCAUGUCAAACAAGUCUCUAGGGGUGUUCCGGAGUACAACAUACCAACCCUCAUCAGUUGGAUCUUUUGAAUAAAAAACUUGUUUCACUUGAGAGGAAAAUACAUAUGGCUCGUCCAUCAAUUGUUGUCCAGUGUGAAUCAAGCGAGAGAAAUUCACCAUUGUAAACCCAAAUUGAUCUUUUUUAAUUCCUCGAGCAGUAUUAACAUCUGCCCAAUCACACCGAAAUAAGAUAACUUUCCAUCUGCCAUAGUAAUCCAACUCAAUAAUGUCGGUAAGAAGUCCGUAAUACUCCACAUUACCCUCAACCGGAUUACUAUCCCUAGCACUAGCAUAACUUGUAAUUGAAGAAUUAACAACAACUCCACAAUUUUGAGUUCUCCUCAUUCUCUCGCGAUACGUUGUAUGAAAUCUGUAUCCAUUGAUGAGGAAGGCACUAUAUCUUUUUAUUACUCUGUUCGGACCUUGGGAAAGCCAUUUAACUUCGUCAUUGACGUCCUUCCCACUCCAAACCUAUUGAAUCGAAAGUAAAUUAAAUAAUUAAAAAUGUAUUAUGUAAAAACAUUCUUAUUUGAUUAACUAAAUUUCGCGAUUAUAUGUAACUUAUUAACUUUAGUUACAUACCGUUUGACUUAACCAUUCAUGAAAAGAUUCUGUGAAUAACUUAUUAAUCUCUCGAUGUUGUAAUCUUCGAGAGCGUGCACGAGAUCUCAAAAUUUGUUUGUACUCACUAUAUUAAAAACAAGUUUAAUUGGUUAGAAGAUAAACAAAUCAAAACGACGAAUAUGUAAGACAAUUUUAUAACUUACUUGCGCAACGGUUCAAUUGAAUCGUGGUUAAAAAGUACAUAUCGAUGUGCCUGUAUUCACGAUAUAUCAUCUAAUUCUACAAUUUCAACUUUGCCGAUUGGUUCUCCAUAACUUUGAAAUAAAUAAGUUUAAGCCAAGUCAUUAUCAUUGAGCCCAGCAUUUCUACUUGGUCUAUUCAAUCGUGUUUCAGCAUCUUCUAAAUAUCUAGAACAGAAGGUCAUGCACUCUUCUGCCAAGUAGCCUUCAGCAAUUGAUCCUUCUGGAUAACGCUUGUUGCGACAAUAUGACUUCAAUUUGCUUAGGAACCUAAACACGAUAUACAAUAUUUAUCAAAAGCUGUAACUAAAUGUAUAGAGGUGAAUGAAUGAAUACUUGAGAAAUAAAUUAGCACCUUUCUAUAGGAUACAUCCAUCGAUAAAAAACCGGUCCACCAAGGAUUGCUUCGUGAGGGAGAUGGAUUACCAAGUGCACCAUAAUAGUGAAGAAGGAAGGUGGAAAGAUCUUCUCUAAAUUGCAUAAAGUUAAAGCCGCUCGAUCCUGUACUUUCUCAAGUUCUUCGACAUUCAAAACUUUGCCACAGAUAGCUUUCAUUAUAUUGGAUAGUUCAAUUAUACAGGACGUUACAUUUUUUGACAUACAGCACCGUAAAGCAAUUGUGAGUAAAUCUUGCAUCAAGAUGUGGUAAUCAUGUGAUUUUAAUGAAUAUAAUCUUCUAUCUUUGAAACUCACACAUCGAGAUAUAUUUGACGCAUAUGCAUCUGGGACCUUUAUAUCCUUCAACACCAUGCAGAAAACUUCUUUCUCUUUCUUUGACAUUGAAAAAAUAGAAGGCGGCAACCGAUAUUUCCCAUUCGGAAGUACUUGAGGAUGAAGAUCACGCCGGAUUCUUAUGUCAACUAAAUCAAGUCGGCUCUGAAGAUUGUCUUUUGAUUUUCCAUCGACAUUUAAAAUUGUCCCAAUUAUGUUCUCGCAGACAUUCUUUUCAAUAUGCAUGAUAUCAAGAUUGUGGCGUAAAAUGUUGUGCUCCCAAUAAGGCAACUCAAAAAAAAUACUCAUUUUCUUCCACAACUCCGCCUCAUUAGGAUCAUCCUCUUCGUCAGAUUCAUCAUCAGAUUCAUCCAUCGAUCUUCUCCUUGUUUGCGUGAUAGGUGGUUGAUUCAUCUUCCCGUAACUAAAGUUGAUAUCUUUUAACAUAAACAAGAUUUCAGAUCCAACGGUCUGCUCAGGAGCUCCUCUGUACUCUUUAGUACCGUCAAAUAGAGUCCUCUGAAAUCUAAAUUUAUGAUUUUCAUCUAACCACCGACGAUGGCCCAUGUAAGAGAACUUCUUCCCAUUAUACAACCACUUUGAACAAGUUUGCGCAGCACAACAAGGACAGGCAUAACGUUCUUUAGUACUCCAACCCGAUAAAUUAGCAUAAGCCGGGAAAUCAUUAAUUGUCCACGAUAAAGCUGCACGUAAAUUAAAGUUCUCCUUUCUCAAUACAUCAUAUGUCUCAACACCCGACCAUAAUUGUUUUAACUCUUCAAUAAGUGGCUGCAAAUAGAUGUCAAUAUCAUUUCCGGGACCUUUCUCUCCAGGGAUAAUCAUUGAUAAAAUAAAUGAAGAUUGCUUCAUGUAAAUCCAUGGAGGCAAAUUGUAAGGAACAAGCACUACAGGCCAAGUACUGUACGAAGUACUCAUGAUUUUAAAUGGAUUAAAGCCAUCAGCUGCUAGCCCAAGCCUCACAUUCCGAGGAUCGCUUGCAAAGCUUGGAAAUUUACUGUCAAAUGAUUUCCAAGCUAAAGAAUCCGAAGGAUGUCUUAAUAAUCCAUCAUCGGUCCGUUGAUCAUUAUGCCACGUCAUAUAUUCGGCUGUCUUUGAGGACAUGAAAAGCCUUUGAAGUCUUGGUAUCAGGGGAAAAUAUCGCAAGACCUUGACUGGCUUCUUUCUUAACUGUGCCCCACCUUCAUCCGUAUUCACAUCUUCUGUAUUACUAUUCAUCCAACGAGACUUACCGCAAACAUGACAAAAUUGUUGGUUUUUUUUAUCACCCCAGUACAACAUGCAGUCAUUUGGGUAACUAUGAAUUUUAUCGUACCCAAGGCCCAAAUCUUUUAUUAGUCUCUUCAUGUCUUGACAAGACUGGGGAAUUUUUGCAAACGAAAACAUCUCUCUUAGAAACUCUAGCAGCAUUGUAAAAGAGUUUCCGGUCCACCCUCCCAAACAUUUUAAAUGAAAUAGACGAAUGCAGAAGGACAAUUUCGAAUAUUUUGAUCCCUCGUAAAGUUCUUCAUUCAUUUCAUUAAGUAAAUUGUAGAACUUAGCCGCUUCUUCAUUUGGCUCCUCAUUAGGUGCACUUGUUCCCGUUUCGCAAAAAACAUUUCCACCAAUAUUACAAUCCUCAGAUAUAAUAAAGUCAGGUGGAAACGAUUGCUCACCAUGACUACGCAUAUUAAAUGCAUCCCGCAACAUAUCUUCCAUGUCAUCUUGUCUAACAUACUGAUGGUAAUCAGUAUCAGGAUAAGUCGGAUUAAUCGUUGAAGAAGUUCCACUAGAUGUACACUCUCCAUGGAAAAUCCAUUUUUUAUACCCCCGAAUAAAGCCAUCAACAAUUAGAUGUUCGUAUACAACUUCACGAAAAUGCCAGUAGAUGUUGCCACACUUCUUACACGGGCAAAGAAUCAUAUUCUCUUGGCUUGCAUUUUGAAAUGCAAAAUUUAGAAAAGUUUGUACUCCAUUUUGAUAGGCAUUGCUUACCCUUGACAAUUUCAUCCAACUCCUAUCCAUUUUGUAGUUCUUGAAAUCUAAAGUUGACAACAUAUUACAGUUACUUAAAUGUUCUCAAUUGAUUUAAAUCAUAUCAUUAUACUAAAUAUCAAGUCUCUAAUGGGUAUAAACUAAUUUAGGCAAGUUGCAGGAUUUUCAACUAUAGAUUUAUGUAUUAUGUAAGUUAAGUAAAUUUUGUAAACUAGUUAUGUAUGAUAUGAUAUAUAUUUAAGUAUUAUGUAAGUUAUGUAAUUUAUGAUAUAUAUUUAUGUAAAUUAUAUAUUUAUCUACGUUAUAUAAGUUAUGUACGUUUUGUAAGUUAUAUAAAUUAUGAUAUCAAAUAUAUUUAUGUAUUAUGUAAGUUUUUUAUUUCACGAUGUGGAAAAUCACAUGGAUAAUACAUAUCAAGUAUCAAGUAUCUACAGGUAAGUAGCGGGAUUAAAUAAUAUUUAAUUAAAUAAUAUUUAUAAAAAUUAUUUUAAUUAAGUAAUAUACAUGUCGUUCGUUUUUAUUUGACAAAUCACAUGUGCAAUUAAAAUAGUCCACACUUAAUUUAAUUUAUGUUUUACAAGUCAUCUUUUCUUAAGUACAUAUUAAAGCACUGUGUGGACAUCCGUAUUUAGGUUAAAAGCUAUGAUUUAGUUUGAAUAAAAAGUUUAACUUAAACGGUAAAAUGGACGAUAAUAUUUGUGAUAAAACGGAGAAUUUUUUAAGAUUCAUCAUACGUGGCGUUGUUACACCUAGGGAGGAUCCAUUAUAUCUUGCAGCUCGAUAUAAGGCAACCCGUCAGGUUUCCAGCCUAUAUACUUUGAAUCUUUAAAAUAUUUAAAUAUUAAAAUCAAACAUUAUUAAUAUAAAAAAAUAGUAUUUUGAAUAUAAUAAUAUCAAAAAAGAAUCGUAGUUUAAUUUUUAUAAGUAAAUUGGAAAUAAAUUAAGGUUAUAUAAAUAUUCAAUAGUAAAUGAGCUCGAUAGAACUUUUUUCAAGUCUUUUUGAAUUUUUUAAGAUUCAUCAUACGUGGCGUUGUUACACCUAGGGAGGAUCCAUUAUAUCUUGCAGCUCGAUAUAAGGCAACCCGUCAGGUUUCCAGCCUAUAUACUUUGAAUCUUUAAAAUAUUUAAAACAAGGUUGGAGAGAAGGUCAGCUAUUGUUGUAAUUUUAAUGGACAAGCAAGCUACACGGUAAUAAAAUUAAUUCAUACCUAUUCAUACUUAAGUUGAAUCAAAUAAUAAUUAAGUUGAACCAAAUAUUUAAAAUUAACUUGGAAACAAAAUAGUUUUACUCCAAACAGAACCAACAAUUAAAUCUUUACAAUAUCGCAACCCCAAAAUAUUAAUUUUUCCAAAAUCAUCAUGAUAAAACUAUUAUUGAUUAUAAUUUUGAAAUAAAGCCUACCUUAAUAAAACGUACCUGGUCUACUCCACUCUCACCAGCAAACAGAGGCUGGAGUCAAAAAAGUAAUAUUUGUUAAGUAAUUUAAAGUGAAAAUGCAUAGAAAUAAUGAAAAAAAUUUAGCAACCAAACCUGUACGUACCUAGAACAAAUGCCAAUAGCUGUGGUGUAUUUAGUUGCACCAAAUAUUAAUUCAGGAGCUCGAUAGUACCUAGAACAGACGUAAGAUUAUAAGAGUAGCACAAAUAUAUUUCAGUUUAAGCAAAUAUAAAAACUUUAUCUAUAUCAGUUUUGCAAGUGCCCACUUGUACCAGGAUCAAAGACACUGCCAAUGAAGCUGUACACCACAGCAAAAUCUGGCAAAACUGCACAGUAAACACAUAAGUUGGAUAGAAACAUGAAAACAGACCAAAAGAACAUCUAAAAAACCAAAAUGGAAUCACCAUUAUUAUGUAAACAUGAAAAUGCACAGCUUUAAACAAACCAACUUUGCAUGUGCAGAAUCAUACUGCACAAAACUCAUAAACAUUAACUUCUCCUAACCAGAAUACCAACUUUAUGUUUACAGAGGCCUUGAUGAAAACUAACAUAACUAUCGUCCAACUAAAUUCAAAUUAAACUCUAGCUGAGAGGUUAAACCUGGUACACCCAAGUCCUAAACUCAUUUUGCGGUGAUUACAUUGUUAGAAACAAGAUGGCAUGAGGACAAAGGAAUAAAGAGGAUUAAAAUGAGAAACACAAAUAACUAUCGUUUGAAUCGAACACUAAGGCACUUUCCUGUCUUAAAAGAAUAAACAAAUGCUGUGAUAUUUUUAUUUUUCUGAAUUCUGAUACACAUCACACAUAACGUUGUACAUAAGUUUCUGAAUGUUUAAAUCAUUGUCAUAAUCUAAAGACUUAAUGUCUUUUAAAUUUUAAUUAAGAUUUAUGAUAAUAUAUUAAAUUAAACAUAAAUCAAUGUCGUUAAUAUCAAAUCCAACUCUUGCCGGCCCACAAAACAAGUCUCAAGAAUAUUACACCUUAUUACCAAAUUAAUGAUGUAAAUGUACAUUAUUCGGACAAAAAACAUCAUAUUUGAUAGAAAUAUAAUAAAUUUUAGGUUAAAUUCAUAAAAACCAUUUUAAUGGGACCCUUGAAAAAAUUAUAAUAAUGAAAUGCAAUUGUUUAAGAAACAUUGGAUAAUAAUGAUUUGAAUUUGUUUAAGGGAAUUAAUCAAGGAGAGUGUUGAAGAUUAAAUAAUGAUGGUGGCUAGCUAAAGCUUGAAAGCUAAAGAGAAAACAUAACAUGUGAGAAUGGGAAUAUACUUUUUCACUUUCUUCCUUUUUGUUCCUUACAUUUCUAGCAAUUAGGUUGGAAAAGGAAGAAAUUAAAGUCCAGUCUAAAAGUUUCCCACUCUUUUUUAUCCUAAAUUAAAAAAAAGUAUCUUAAAUGAGGUUAUCAACAUAAAAGUAAAAACAUGUUGAAAGAAACAUAAAUGUUAGGGAAGACAAUGUUUACCUUGAUUGAAUUGGAAAUGUUUUCUUGAGGGUUUAUUUGGAGAUGCUUGGGAUUGAUCUCUAAUAAUGUCGAGAGACUUCCCUACUCAUUGCAUUUGAAGAACAGAAGUCUGUUUCUGGUCGACAAAACAAUCAAAUGAGUUCUAAAAAUAAACAACAUUUAAUGGUACAAAAUGCAAUCCGACUCCUAGUAUAGAGGCUUUCAUGGUACUUUUACCAAUUAACGGCAUAUGACAAGGCUGAGAGUAGCUUGUACAUUUUGCUAACGAGCCAACGGUUUCAAGAAAUUAAGUUUACAAAGAACUAAAACUACUGGACGAAAAAUUAAAAUUUAAAACAUACCGACAGUUUUUGGUACAACUUCGCCAUACAAUCCAAUAACUAUUCUACCUGUAAAACACAAAUUACACAAAAAAGAAAAUGUAAGCUAAAAAAAGGAUAAGAUUUCUUCUCAUCACUUAUCCUAUCCUGUAGGAAUAGGUGAAGGCGUUGUAUCUACACACUGGCCAUCAAUAUCCACAUCCAAGUAUACUCUGUGAGUGAUUUCAUGCUCUUCUUCUACAAUCUUCUCUUCCUCCUAAGAAGCACAAAAUGCGAACUAUUAUUGCAUUAAUCUAUCAAGAUCGAUAAACAUUAAAGGAAAUUGCAGCCUCGAGCUUGUCUCAACCAAGCACAUUCAGUUAUAAAGUUCAAAUUUCGAACAAGCGAAUGCUCAGAUUAUAAGAGUAUUGCAUCUUUCAUGAAGGGUAUCACAGAAACAAGCUUUAAACUAAGCCUAUAUUACUUAGAUGUUAGUGUCAGAUACAGAUACUUAUCUAACAUAGAUGUACUCAAUUUUAUUUUUUUCUAGAUUCUUUUUAUGUAUUUAAAAGGGUUCGAACAUGAGUACUUGAAGUAAAACUAGGCUUAUGAUAUGAAUAUAUAUAUGUAUGUAUGUAUGUAUAACAUAAAUGUAUUCAUUUUUUUCUAAUUUUUUCCAUGUACUUAAGUACUUUAAGUAAACUAAUACUUAAAGCAACAUAAAACUAGACUAUUCAAUGCAAUCUGAGAUAUACAAUAUCAAAAAAUGAAAAAAAAAUCCAAUAAAUUCAAGAAAAUUCCACACAGAUCAACAAAAUCAAAUCAAAACGAAACACAACCAACCAAAUUCAUGAAACUAAAAUUUAAAUAAAAACCCAAAUCUGUUCUACAGUACCAAAAACAAGAAAUAAACAAAAAAAUCCAAAUCAGAUCCAAAGGGCAACAUAUUUACACAUAAUCCAAGAAAUGGGUAUAUAAAAAUGAACAAGAAAAGUUUUAAAAAAACGCACCUGUUUUGCUCCUGAGAAAGCGAAAAUGAGGAGAAUUGAGAGAGAAAUGAAGCAUAUGACCGUCGACGAGAGGAAAGGGAAAAUCGUUAGGGAUUUCGGGGAUGGGGGAACAGAUUAAGGGAAAAUCGUUAGGGAUUGGGGAUUUGGAGAAGGAAGACAAGAUGGGGGAAAAUGACUUAGUAAAAAAAUGAAAUUGAUUUCGGGUAAAGGGCAUAAACCUCAGGAGAGAAAAAAUGACACCGUUUCAAAUAAGGGAAAUUUGUGGCGUUUUCAGCAACGCGCCGCUAAUAAGACAUUUUGCAGCGUUUUCAGCAAAGCGCCACUAACACCUAUUUUAUCUACACUAUAAAAUGAUGCCGUUCUAAUACGCGUUGUGGCGUUUAUUAUAAAAACGCCGCUAAAGCCACUACUAUUCAGAGGAAACGACGCCGUUUUACUUUAAUCUAUAAUGAAAUUUUGUGGUGUUUUUUUAUAAAAACGCCGCUAUUUUCUAUCUUUUGCGGCGUUUUAUGUAUAAACGCCGCUAAUACCUGAAUAUUUUAUAGAAAUUGAUCAAAAUUUAAAACUAUAUAUUUAGAAUUUCUUUUAAAUUAUAUAUAAACCCUAAAACCCUAACUAUAGUUGAAACUUUAAUUUUGAUUUAAUACACAUUUUAAAAUACAUAUUAUGUAUGCAUGUAAAUUAAUUAAAUAAAAACAUGAUGCUAUUUAUAAUUAUAUCAAUAACGUGUAAAUAUUUUACAAGAUCUAAAUCAAAUCACAGUUCAUGUACACAAUUGCACACUAAAUCACUUUUCAUAUAUAUAUUUAUAUAUUUUUUAAAAUAAUAUUUUAUAUAUAUUUAUCUUAUAUACAUUUAUCUUCUAAAUUAAAAUCCAAAAUUAUACUCUAAAUUUGAAACCCUAAACUUGAUACUCUAAAACCCUAAACCUUAGACCACAAACACAGAACCCCUAGCCCCAAACUUUAAACCCCAAAACCAUUCGGUAACCCCUAAACCAACCAUAACUCCUAGACCAUAAAGCCCAAACAGUAAAGUACUCUAAAAAUUGUUAACCCUAAACCAUAAUAAACAUAUUAUUGGGAAUUCGUGUGGCCAAUGUUAGUGUAGUACAAAUUAAAACACAUAUAUAUAUGUUUAUAUUCUUAUAUUAAAUAAUAUGAGUACGUAUAUACAAAAUAACAUGAAUCUUAGUAAAAUCCAAAUUUUCUUCAGUUAAUUUCUAGCUAAUAGUAUCAUUUCCUUAAACCCUAACCUAAACUUAAUUUUUAACAUAUUUUAUUUCAGUCAUUCUAUUUAAUCUAAAUAUAUUUAAACAAAAAAAUAGAUAAUUAAAAAUACACAAUAGCAUUAUUAUUUAUACAAAGUUACAUAACUUUAAUAAAACAAUUAAUUCUCUAUUGGAACACUCUAGUUAUAAUGUCCACUCUGUAAGAUAUUUCUAUGUUAUAUAAGAAAUUAUACAUAGUUCAACAAAUGCUAAUUCCACAUUCAAAAUCACCCUUUCUUAAUAGCAUCCCAAGUAAGAAUCUGGAAAGGAAAUUAUCUCUUAAGAAGUUAAUUAAUAAUUGUCCCAUUGUAAACUUUAACCCUAACCUUUAAACCCUAAAUCAUAAUCCUUAAACCCCGAAUUCAUCAUAAACCUUCAAAUACUAAUUAACUCCUAAACCUUAAACCAUAGUUAACCAUAAUUAAACCUGCUUAAACCAUAAACCUUAAACUAUAAUGAUAAUUAAUUCAAUAUUUUAAAUUCAAUGCUAUCUCUUUUACGAUUAUAUAAGAAAAUAUUUAAUAUAUUGUAUAAUCAUAAAUUUUAAUAAUUAUUGUUUUAGGGGUUAUAGAUUAGUGUUUAUGAUUCUAGGGGUUAUGAGAUUUUUAGCGGCGUUUUACCGAAAGCGCCGCUAAUGCUUUGGCUUUUAGCGGCGUUUUACCUAACGCGCCGCUAAUGCUCUGGCUUUUAGCGGCGUUUUACCGAAAGCGCCGCUAAUGCUCUGGCUUUUAGUGGCGUUUUACAGAAAGUGCCGCUAAUGCUCUGGCUUUUAGCUCUGUUUUUUACUAAAACGCCGCUGUUGCUCUGUUUUUAGCGGCGUUUUUUUUUAGAACGCCGCUAUUGCUCUGAAUUUUAAAAUUUUGGCGGCGUUUUUUCAAAAAACGCCGCUAAAGCCCUAUUUUCCUGUAGUGUAACCUCGAAAAUUUAUCUUUAUGAACCUUAAACAUGAAAUCUAUCUUUGAUCAUACCUAAAAAAUAUAUUUUAAUUUAGGACAUUAAUAACUUAAAUGUCAUUUUUUUCGAAUUGACUUUAACCCCACUACUAUGAGUUCAGCCAUGUUUAGGAUUUAGUUCAUUUAUUCCAAAUUGAUAGCCUUAAGGCAUCCCAAGCAAUCCAAGGAAGAACUUCACCAAAUUUGAUUUCAGCAUUAGCCGUGCAAAUUCAGCAGUUGUUACAAAACAAAGAACAUUGGGUGAUAAGGCAUAUACCUAGGGAGACUAAUCAUGUUGUUGGUCGUAUUGUAAAUAUAGUUAUUGUGGAUGCAAAAGGGGUACAUGUCUUGCCAAAAGCCCCUAUGAAGUUAUUUGAAGCCCUUGAUAAUGAUAAAAUUAGUGGUGCUUUUAAUUUUGUCAGUUUAGUUUGGGUUUUUUACCAAAAUAGUACCAAAAAAAAAACACACACACACAUAAAAAUAAUACAAUAAAAAUAUCAUGUACCAAAAUGGUACACUCGGGGUGGUGUUGCCUAUGUCAGAGGCGUAACCACCCCAAAAUCUGACAAAAAAUCUAUUAAAAAAUUUAAAAAAAUAAAAAUUUGUUAAAAAAAACUAAAAAGCUGGUAAAAAAAGUGACGGAGGAGGUGCCAGAGGCAGACUGAAGGUGGAGGUGCCAGAGGCGGCACCAAGGAUGCACGGCCUCCUUUAUAAAAUAAAAUAAAAUAAAUUACCUUUUCUCUAUUAGAUUUUUUUCUCUUCUCUUUCUCCUUCCUUCUUUCUCUCUAUUCUCUCAUUCUCUUUUUCUUUUUCUUUCUUCUUUUUCCCUCACCAGUGCCACCCUCUCCUUCUCAUUCUCCUUCUCUUUUUCUUUCUUUUUCUCUUCUUCUCCCUGCUGCUUGCUUCACCGGAGCUAUUGCUGAACUUGGGAGGACCUUGUAACAUCCCGAAAUAGGGCCUAAACGGAAUAGUGGUUGCGAAACCACAAAUUUGAGGUAGAAAAAUUUAUUUUAUUAUUAUUUUGAGGUUCAUGGUAUGAUUGCAUGAUUGUGUGAAAAUUUUGUGAUGAAAUUCUAUGCAUAAAGUGCUUAAGUUGAGGUUAGGGACUAAAUCGAAUAAUUUGCAAAACUUGCAUUCUAGAAGUUUUUAGUAUGAAAUUACUUUGGAAUAUUAAUUAGGAGGGUUUAAAUAACAAUUUGACCAAUUUUAAGUUCAUGGACAAAAAUUAGGACAUUGAAGGAAUUUUUGAAAGUUUAGUAAGGAGGGGUAAUUUGGUCAUUUGGAUAUUAAAUGAAUUAAAAAGGGAAAAAUAACACAAAAAUGGUCAUCUUCUCAAUUAGUUUCUGCCAAUUUUUGCUCUCCUCCAUAGCUGGGAUUUCUUCAACUUUCAAGCUUCAUAGUAAGUGAUUCCAAGCCCCGUUUUUAAUGAUCUUUACGUUUUUGGAGUCCCGGUAACUUGAUUAAGCUUAUUCUAGCAAUAAUUCAACAUAGGGUUCAUAUUUGGAAAAAUACCCAUGGCUGAAUUUUGUGUAUUUUGGUGUUUUAUGAUAGAAUAUGAGGUUUUAAAUUAUGUUAAACAACUUAUGCUACUCGGUUUUAAGUGAAAACGAGUAAAAUGGCUUAAAUUGGAUAAAAAAUACCAAUAGUCAUAAGUAUAUGUUAGAGUGUGAUUUUGAUAUUGCCAUAGAAGGGAAAAAUGAUCAGCAUGUCAUAAAACAUAAGAAAAUAAGAUGAAGUUUAAUUUACGAGCCUUGGGGCAAAAGUGCAAAUAUGUGAAAGUUUAGGGGUAAAAUUAUAAUUUUGCAAAAGUUGGGUCAAGGACCGUUUUAAUAAAUGUGAAUAUUAAAUAAGUUAAAUUUGCUAUUAUAGAUCAAGAAGAACGAAAUUCGGGAGUGGAUCGGGGAAAAGAAAAAGUAAAGGACUAAAUUGUAAAGUUUAGUCACAUUUUGUAUCAAGGUAAGUUACAGUAAAAAAAUGCGAUAUUCUUUUAUUUUACAUUAUUAUUGUCAAUUUCCAGCAUUUAUAUAUUAUGUUAUGAAAAUAUUUAAAGUCAAAUUUAAGGUGAAGUGACAGAGGAAAAGUGUUAGAAAGCCCCGGUUGAACCCUAGGAAUGUUAGGAUAUUAGGGUUGACAGGACAAAACAAAAAUGAGCCAUGUAAGUCCAUAUUAGAAAUAUGGCUUUGGAGACAGGAUUGAGCCAUGUAAGUCCAUAUUAUAUAUGGCAUUGGAGACAGGAAUAAUUCAUGUAAGUCCAUGUCAAAGAUAUAGCAUUGGCAGGAUAUUGAUAGACAGGAACGACCCUAGUAUCCUUAAUAUUCCGAGUGGUUCAACGGGUCAGGAUACGAGUUAAAUUACAGUGAAUUAACAGCAAAGGAAAAGUAGAUUAUACUUAUGAAAAAGGAAAGGUCAGGUAAGAAAGAAGGUAAGGGAAUAAAGAAGAAGAUAGAAAUUGAGAAGUAAAGAAAUUUAUGAUGUUAGAUGAUAUUAUGCAUAAUUAUCCAUUAUGUUGAAUGUUGUGAUUUAUUUGCUUGUAAGCUUACUAAGCCUAGUGCUUAAUCUAUUUAUUUUCUUCUUCUUAUAGUACUUAUCUAGUCACUCGGGGAUCGAAGGAAACGUCGGAGGCCGAUCACACUAUCAAAGAAAUAACUCGGUAUAACUAGACAUUUUGUUUUGGGUAUGGCAUGUAUAGAAACUUAGCUACUUUUGGUAUAAUAUGAACAAUGAAUGAUGUGUAAAUACUUGCUAGUGAUUAGCUAAUAAAAUAGCCG
Molecule: long non-coding RNA, 31013 nt
Filed under: Gossypium barbadense (sea-island cotton)
Lineage: Eukaryota; Viridiplantae; Streptophyta; Magnoliopsida; Malvales; Malvaceae
Description: long non-coding RNA (GBAR_LNC022967)
Source: RNAcentral